UCCCUGGUAGCUCAGACGGUAAAGCGUCUGCCUACAAUGCUGGAGACCUGGGUUCAAUCCCUGGGUCGGGAA
This 72-nucleotide transfer RNA is filed under the name Bos taurus (domestic cattle). It matches the Rfam family "tRNA". From Rfam's summary of the family: Transfer RNA (tRNA) molecules are approximately 80 nucleotides in length. Their secondary structure includes four short double-helical elements and three loops (D, anti-codon, and T loops). The record is from Rfam by way of RNAcentral. Lineage: Eukaryota; Metazoa; Chordata; Mammalia; Artiodactyla; Bovidae.